AGAUCGGUAUCUUAAAUUGAUGAGAACUUUUGUGGAGAGGGGAAAGAAGCUUGACACGAACCCUAAAAAGCAGCUGUGAAUGGAUGUGAUGCGCGAUCAUAGUUCGGGUCCAGCAGCAGCAGCAGCUUCAGAUGG
Non-coding RNA from Caenorhabditis elegans, 135 nucleotides. The record is from Ensembl. Lineage: Eukaryota; Metazoa; Nematoda; Chromadorea; Rhabditida; Rhabditidae.